CGGCGCAUGCGCGGGUGGGCUGGGUCUGUGUGCUGGGGAGCGCGGAGCCGGAGCAGCUCCGGAGACUUGCUUGGGCUCCGACCGUAGUGUCCACUGCUCUCCUCUGUCGCCACCGCUUUAGCCGCCGCCGCCGCCGCCGCCGCCAGUGGAGCGGCCGCCUAUUGUCUUUCUCCGUGGCGAAGGUGAGGAGCUGUCCCGGCUCGGCCCGCGGGGGAGCCCUGGGUGCCGCACGGUGUCCUCAAGUCCUGGAAAUCCUUGGAAUUAUAUGAAGGGCCCAAAUGGGAUUGGGCAGAGGAUGGAAAAGAGAGCAAGUGGUGCUACACUGAGUUCCACUUCUUGUCCUGGGUCAUGAAAUUUAUUCUGAGAUUUCAUGAAUAAAUGAAAUCAAAGGGACAUGGAUGAAUCUGGAGAACGUCAUCCUCAGCAAACUGACACAAGAACAGAAAAUGAAACACCGCAUAUUCUCACUCAUAGGGCUCUUCUCACUGUCAAGAUACAAAGCAUAGUCUUGUCCCAGAUGGGAUAAAGGAUGCGGGAUGCUGUCAGAUGAUAAAAAAGCCAAGCACACAAAGGAAAGAGAUUCCUCAAGAGGAUGAUGACACAUUAGCCAUGGAUCAAAGAGAAAAGGACCAAGGCCCCCGAACAAUAAGGCAUUUCUCUGGGCGAUUGUGUUGUUACAGUGUUGCUUGCUGAAGAGGACAAAGUUGAAGAUGAUGUAGUAUUUUACUUGGUAUUUUCGGGUUCCACCCUCCAUCACUGUGCAAGUACUUGGAGACAAUUACUCCUGCUUUAUGAACAACCCAGGAUUGGAGUUCUCAUUGUGUCUGCGGAGAGAUUCUGUCAAAUUUUAAGAACAAAUGCACCUUAUAGCUCAUGGAAGAAAAAAAACAAAUCAAGACAUUUUGGGGUUUCAAGUUGCCAAAGUAUGGAACAAAAUCUAUAGGAAGUACAUUGCAGCCAGUGUCAAAUGGGACUCCUGUUAAUUUAUUAGGAACUUCCAAGAAUAGUAACAUCAAAAGUUACAUCAAAAAUAAUGGCUCUGAUUGUUCAUCAUCUCAUUCAUUUAAUUGGAGAAAAGCAAAUAAAUACCAACUUUAUGCACAAGGUGCCGAAGAGCCUAACAAUACUCAAAAUUCACAUGAUAAAAUAAUUGAUCCUGAAAAACUUGUUCCUACUCAAGUAAUGUUUGAUAAAAAUGGGGUAAAGGGAGGUUUGAAAAGUGUUUCAUUAUUCAUGUCAAAGUUGGCAAAGCCAUCCACUAUGUUAGUGUCAUCUAUGGAGGAGUUAAACCAAAAGUCUUUUUCUGGACCAUCUAAUUGGGGUAAAUUUACCAAAGGCACAUUAUUAGGAAGGACUUCAUAUUCUUCGGUCAAUACUCCAAAAUCACAGUUGAAUGGAUUUUAUGGAAACCAGUCGGCUAGUAGCAUGCAAAGGCCUAGAGCAAACUCCUGUGCCACCGGAAGCAGUUCUGGUGAAAGCUUAGCUCAGUCCCCAGACAGUAGUAAACCUAUUAAUUGUGAAAAAAUGGUAAGGUCACAAAGUUUUUCACAUUCCAUUCAGAAUUUAUUCUUUCCACUUUCAUCUAUAACCAGAUCACAUUCCUUUAAUAGAGCUGUGGAUCUUACAAAGCCUUAUCAAAACCAACAGCUAUCCAUUAGAGUGCCUCUACGGUCAAGUAUGCUAACAAGAAAUUCCGACAGUCAGAAGUACUCAAUGGGAGUGAACAUUUAGGGUAUGGGUUUAAUAGGCCUUAUGCUGCUGGUGGAAAGAAGCUGGCUUUACCAAAUGGUCCAGGUAUCUUCUACGUUAGGCUAUAGAAUGGUUCAUCCCUCUCUACUGAAAUCUAGCUGAUCUCCAUUGUCUGGGACUAUCACAGUUUAUGGAAAUCAAAAUUCACCUGCUGACACAUAUGUAGAGGAAGAUGCUGUAGUUUUGGCUGAGGACAGAGCUACUAAUAAGGACCAAGAACUGACUGAAAAUGAAAGUUACAGAAUGAAAAACAACCAGAGCAUGAAACACGAUGCGAAAGCGAGAUAACUGAGUGAUGAUGUGGAUGACAUUUCCUUGUCUUUUUUGUCAUCUUCUGAAAAGAAUGAUUUAAGUGAAGACUUCAGUGGUUAUUUUAUAGAUAUGGAAGACUCUAACAGAACUAGAAUAACUCCAGAGGAAAUGUCUCUCAAAGAAGAGAAGCAUGAAAAUCUGACACCACAGGAUGUAUUUGAUUCCCCCAAGGAAAAUGAAAAAGCCCUCAGUAAAACUGAUGAAUGGAUAGACAUAGGUGUCUCUGACAGGAGUGAAUGUACAAAACAUACUUCUGGGAAUAAUUUAGUUUCACUGGAUACUACAGAGUUGGUCUUCAUUUGAACUCUCUGUCUGCUAGUUUUGAUGGAGGAACAUACAUGUGGAUGAAGAAGUCUUGGAACCCAUUGGAAAUGUCCAUCCAGUUGGGAGCUAUGAGUCUGAAAUGAACAGCAUAGAGAAAGGUACAACUCUGUACCCGGUCUUCCCCAACAGAGCCCGAGCAGCCCUGUUUUUCCCUCUACUUUGCUGCUUUCACAUCUCAUGAGUAAGUACUUCCUAUUCUGUCUCCUUAAUAAUCACAAAAUUUUUUCCUCCACUUUUGUCACUGCCACUGCCUUUUGCAUCAGUCUUCCUUUAGAUAGUCUCUUAAUUGGUCUGUUGCUUUCUUCAGUCCUUCCUUAUUAUACAGACCACUACACCCACAUCUGAAAGAGACUCCUCAACUUUGUAUGGUUUAAUGACUCAAAUUUUCAGAAUAAAAUUAAAACCACCGCAGUGUCAAAUUUGAGGUGGGUUUGUAUCUCAGAUUCCUACACUGUCCAGUAGUGUGAUCUCAGAAAACAACUUCGUAAGCCUUUGUUUGUGUAUCUGCCUACCCUCAUUGAAAUUUUGGACUGUUUUACACAUACAGUGUCUGGCAUGUAGAAGGGACUUCAUCAAUGUUGAAUGAAGAGGAGGCAUUUUAAAGUUCACAUUAAAAAAAAUCAUUU
This is a non-coding RNA of Callithrix jacchus (white-tufted-ear marmoset), 3011 nucleotides long. Lineage: Eukaryota; Metazoa; Chordata; Mammalia; Primates; Cebidae. The record is from RefSeq and is a predicted model, not a curated record.